RNAcentral lists this ribosomal RNA (1349 nucleotides) under metagenome. RNAcentral's name for it is "bacterial SSU rRNA". It matches the Rfam family "Bacterial small subunit ribosomal RNA", at positions 170 to 1520 of the family's 1533-position model. The record is from RNAcentral.
CGCAUACGAUCUACGGAUGAAAGUGGGGGAUCGCAAGACCUCAUGCUCAUGGAGCGGCCGAUAUCUGAUUAGCUAGUUGGUGGGGUAAAAGCUCACCAAGGCGACGAUCAGUAGCUGGUCUGAGAGGACGACCAGCCACACUGGAACUGAGACACGGUCCAGACUCCUACGGGAGGCAGCAGUGGGGAAUUUUGGACAAUGGGCGCAAGCCUGAUCCAGCAAUGCCGCGUGAGUGAAGAAGGCCUUCGGGUUGUAAAGCUCUUUUGUCAGGGAAGAAACGGUUCGGGCUAAUAUCCUGGGCUAAUGACGGUACCUGAAGAAUAAGCACCGGCUAACUACGUGCCAGCAGCCGCGGUAAUACGUAGGGUGCAAGCGUUAAUCGGAAUUACUGGGCGUAAAGCGUGCGCAGGCGGUUGUGCAAGACAGAUGUGAAAUCCCCGGGCUCAACCUGGGAAUUGCAUUUGUGACUGCACGGCUAGAGUGUGUCAGAGGGGGGUAGAAUUCCACGUGUAGCAGUGAAAUGCGUAGAGAUGUGGAGGAAUACCGAUGGCGAAGGCAGCCCCCUGGGAUAACACUGACGCUCAUGCACGAAAGCGUGGGGAGCAAACAGGAUUAGAUACCCUGGUAGUCCACGCCCUAAACGAUGUCUACUAGUUGUCGGGUCUUAAUUGACUUGGUAACGCAGCUAACGCGUGAAGUAGACCGCCUGGGGAGUACGGUCGCAAGAUUAAAACUCAAAGGAAUUGACGGGGACCCGCACAAGCGGUGGAUGAUGUGGAUUAAUUCGAUGCAACGCGAAAAACCUUACCUACCCUUGACAUGUCUGGAAUCCUUGAGAGAUCAGGGAGUGCUCGAAAGAGAAUCAGAACACAGGUGCUGCAUGGCUGUCGUCAGCUCGUGUCGUGAGAUGUUGGGUUAAGUCCCGCAACGAGCGCAACCCUUGUCAUUAGUUGCUACGAAAGGGCACUCUAAUGAGACUGCCGGUGACAAACCGGAGGAAGGUGGGGAUGACGUCAAGUCCUCAUGGCCCUUAUGGGUAGGGCUUCACACGUCAUACAAUGGUACAUACAGAGGGCCGCCAACCCGCGAGGGGGAGCUAAUCCCAGAAAGUGUAUCGUAGUCCGGAUUGUAGUCUGCAACUCGACUACAUGAAGUUGGAAUCGCUAGUAAUCGCGGAUCAGCAUGUCGCGGUGAAUACGUUCCCGGGUCUUGUACACACCGCCCGUCACACCAUGGGAGCGGGUUUCACCAGAAGUGGGUAGCCUAACCGCAAGGAGGGCGCUCACCACGGUGGGAUUCGUGACUGGGGUGAAGUCGUAACAAGGUAGCCGUAUCGGAAGGUGCGGCUG